RNAcentral lists this ribosomal RNA (425 nucleotides) under uncultured bacterium. Its description in RNAcentral is "partial 16S ribosomal RNA". It matches the Rfam family "Bacterial small subunit ribosomal RNA", at positions 354 to 796 of the family's 1533-position model. The record is from RNAcentral.
GUGGGGAAUCUUAGACAAUGGGCGCAAGCCUGAUCUAGCCAUGCCGCGUGAGCGAUGAAGGCCUUAGGGUUGUAAAGCUCUUUCAGCUGGGAAGAUAAUGACGGUACCAGCAGAAGAAGCCCCGGCUAACUCCGUGCCAGCAGCCGCGGUAAUACGGAGGGGGCUAGCGUUGUUCGGAAUUACUGGGCGUAAAGCGCACGUAGGCGGAUCAGAAAGUCAGAGGUGAAAUCCCAGGGCUCAACCGUGGAACUGCCUUUGAAACUCCUGAUCUUGAGGUCGAGAGAGGUGAGUGGAAUUCCGAGUGUAGAGGUGAAAUUCGUAGAUAUUCGGAAGAACACCAGUGGCGAAGGCGACUCACUGGCCCAAUACUGACGCUGAGGCGCGAAAGCGUGGGGAGCAAACAGGAUUAGAAACCCGUGUAGUCC